UNUGACUUGAGUGCAGAAGGGGAGAGUGGAAUUCCAUGUGUAGCGGUGAAAUGCGUAGAUAUAUGGAGGAACACCAGUGGCGAAAGCGGCUCUCUGNUCUGUCACUGACGCUGAGGCUCGAAAGCGUGGGUAGCGAACAGGAUUAGAUACCCUGGUAGUCCACGCCGUAAACGAUGAGUGCUAGGUGUUAGGCCCUUUCCGGGGCUUAGUGCCGGAGCUAACGCAAUAAGCACUCCGCCUGGGGAGUACGACCGCAAGGUUGAAACUCAAAGGAAUUGACGGGGGCCCGCACAAGCGGUGGAGCAUGUGGUUUAAUUCGAAGCAACGCGAAGAACCUUACCAGGUCUUGACAUCCCGAUGCUAUUCUUAGAGAUAGGAAGUUACUUCGGUACAUCGGAGACAGGUGGUGCAUGGUUGUCGUCAGCUCGUGUCGUGAGAUGUUGGGUUAAGUCCCGCAACGAGCGCAACCCUUAUUGUUAGUUGCCAUCAUUAAGUUGGGCACUCUAGCGAGACUGCCGGUAAUAAACCGGAGGAAGGUGGGGAUGACGUCAAAUCAUCAUGCCCCUUAUGACCUGGGCUACACACGUGCUACAAUGGUCGGUACAACGAGUUGCGAGCCGGUGACGGCAAGCUAAUCUCUGAAAGCCGAUCUCAGUUCGGAUUGGAGGCUGCAACUCGCCUCCAUGAAGUCGGAAUCGCUAGUAAUCGCGGAUCAGCACGCCGCGGUGAAUACGUUCCCGGGCCUUGUACACACCGCCCGUCACACCACGAGAGUUUGUAACACCCGAAGUCGGUGAGGUAACCUUUUAGGGGCCAG
RNAcentral lists this ribosomal RNA (817 nucleotides) under uncultured bacterium. Its description in RNAcentral is "bacterial SSU rRNA". It matches the Rfam family "Bacterial small subunit ribosomal RNA", at positions 636 to 1452 of the family's 1533-position model. The record is from RNAcentral.